CCUACGGGUGGCAGCAGUGAGGAAUAUUGGUCAAUGGACGAGAGUCUGAACCAGCCAAGUAGCGUGAAGGAUGACUGCCCUAUGGGUUGUAAACUUCUUUUAUAUGGGAGUAAAAUGUUCCACGUGUGGGAUUUUGUAUGUACCCUAUGAAUAAGGAUCGGCUAACUCCGUGCCAGCAGCCGCGGUAAUACGGAGGAUCCGAGCGUUAUCCGGAUUUAUUGGGUUUAAAGGGAGCGUAGGUGGAUAGUUAAGUCAGUUGUGAAAGUUUGCGGCUUCACCGUAAAAUUGCAGUUGAAACUGGCAGUCUUGAGUACAGUAGAGGUGUGCGGAAUGCGUGGUGUAGCGGUGAAAUGCUUAGAUAUCACGAAGAACUCCGAUUGCGAAGGCAGUUCACUGGCCUGCAACUGACACUGAGGCUCGAAAGUGUGGGUAUCAAACAGGAUUAGAUACCCUUGUAGUC
RNAcentral lists this ribosomal RNA (460 nucleotides) under uncultured bacterium. Its description in RNAcentral is "partial 16S ribosomal RNA". It matches the Rfam family "Bacterial small subunit ribosomal RNA", at positions 338 to 795 of the family's 1533-position model. The record is from RNAcentral.